Long non-coding RNA from Bos taurus (domestic cattle), 642 nucleotides. The record is from Ensembl. Lineage: Eukaryota; Metazoa; Chordata; Mammalia; Artiodactyla; Bovidae.
GCCCAGCUGGAUUUGAGAGAUGGCAGGGCAGCCAUGGAUCACUGCCCUUGCCAGGCGUCCAUGCUGAGGCUGGGGUGAGCCUCCACUCUGAGUGCUCGGAGCCUCUGGCGUGCCUGCACGUGGAGCUCUGUGGGGGAAGCUGUGUGGGAGCACGCUCUCUUUGUACUCGCAUGUCCCCAUGGAGCAAAGCCAGCUGGAGACAACCGAGUCUGAGCAAAGCCCCACGGCCUGUGGGAGGCCUGGUGCCCCAGGCUGGUUCGGGGGAGCAGGAUCUCUGCGCCUCCCCCAGCCACUGCUUCUUGCAAACUGAGAGGCAGGGCAGCAAACAGCCCAGGAAGCUGGCUGCAGUGAAGAUGAAUGAACCGAAGCUCCUCACGACAACAUGGAUGGAUCUUAAGCACAUGGUGUUGAGUGAAAGAAUACAAAUGAUGGACUCCAUUCAUACAUGGUCCCAAACCAGGGGCAUGUGUUCAAUCCCCAGUUGGGGAACUGAGAUUUUAUGUGCUGCGCAGUGCCGCCAAACAAAAACCAAAACCACUAAGAAAACAAAACCAGGACGUUUGACGACUGAACACAGCACUCACUGCCCUCUCCUCUCCAUCGCACUUUGUCCUCAGGGCCCUGAAACAUCUCUCCCUCUUC